AAUUGAAGAGUUUGAUCAUGGCUCAGAUUGAACGUUGGCGGCAGGCCUCAUACAUGCAAGUCGAACGGUAACAGCGGAGCUUGCUCCGGCUGACGAGUGGCGGACGGGUGAGUAACGCGUGGGAAUCUACCUAGUAGCGGGGGACAACUCGGGGAAACUCGAGCUAAUACCGCAUAAUCCCUUCGGGGGAAAGGCUUCGGCCACUAUUAGAUGAGCCCGCGUCCGAUUAGCUUGUUGGUGAGGUAACUGCUCACCAAGGCUACGAUCGGUAGCUGGUCUGAGAGGAUGAUCAGCCACACUGGGACUUAGACACGGCCCAGACUCCUACGGGAGGCAGCAGUGGGGAAUAUUGGACAAUGGGCGCAAGCCUGAUCCAGCCAUACCGCGUGUGUGAAGAAGGCCCUAGGGUUGUAAAG
RNAcentral lists this ribosomal RNA (416 nucleotides) under Gammaproteobacteria bacterium. Its description in RNAcentral is "bacterial SSU rRNA". It matches the Rfam family "Bacterial small subunit ribosomal RNA", at positions 1 to 430 of the family's 1533-position model. The record is from RNAcentral. Lineage: Bacteria; Pseudomonadati; Pseudomonadota; Gammaproteobacteria.